Non-coding RNA from Podarcis lilfordi (Lilford's wall lizard), 73 nucleotides. The record is from the annotation of a GenBank genome assembly. Lineage: Eukaryota; Metazoa; Chordata; Lepidosauria; Squamata; Lacertidae.
GCUAGGAUAGCUUAGUUGGUACAGAAUGAGACUCUUAAUCUCAAAGUCAUGGGUUUGAACCCCAUGGUGGGUG